AGCAGUAGCCACGGUAAUACAGAGGGUGCAAGCGUUAAUCGGAAUUACUGGGCGUAAAGCGCACGCAGGCGGUUUGUUAAGACAGAUGUGAAAUCCCCGGGCUUAACCUGGGAACUGCAUUUGUGACUGGCAAGCUAGAGUCUGGCAGAGGGGGGUGGAAUUCCGCGUGUAGCAGUGAAAUGCGUAGAUAUGCGGAGGAACACCGAUGGCGAAGGCAGCCCCCUGGGCCAACACUGACGCUCAUGCACGUAAGCGUGGGGAGCAAACAGGAUUAGAUACCCCUGUAGUCCCUGUCUCUUAUAU
This 303-nucleotide ribosomal RNA is filed under the name uncultured bacterium. RNAcentral describes it as "partial 16S ribosomal RNA". It matches the Rfam family "Bacterial small subunit ribosomal RNA", at positions 507 to 809 of the family's 1533-position model. The record is from RNAcentral.